Molecule: non-coding RNA, 244 nt
Organism: Paramuricea clavata
Lineage: Eukaryota; Metazoa; Cnidaria; Anthozoa; Malacalcyonacea; Plexauridae
Source: the annotation of a GenBank genome assembly
AGAUCAAGGAACGUUUUUGUGCGGGCACUCUGAAACAAAGAGCAAGAACUGCAAUGUCUUAUGAAUUGAAAAGAGAUUUUCAGCAAGUGUUAUCCUCGCAAAUGGUACGGUAUGUUCAUUAUUGUUGGAAGGGUCUUGUAGACAGAGAUUAUCGAGUGGAAAUUUAUUUACAUUUGUUAGAUCUAACCACAAACAGCUGUGAAAAAUGCAACUAUACAGGUCCCUGGCAGGAAUCAAACCAAGC